This 459-nucleotide ribosomal RNA is filed under the name uncultured bacterium. Its description in RNAcentral is "partial 16S ribosomal RNA". It matches the Rfam family "Bacterial small subunit ribosomal RNA", at positions 338 to 795 of the family's 1533-position model. The record is from RNAcentral.
CCUACGGGAGGCAGCAGUGAGGAAUAUUGGUCAAUGGUCGGGAGACUGAACCAGCCAAGCCGCGUGAGGGAUGAAGGUACAGAGUAUCGUACACCUCUUUUGUCAGGGAACAAAGGCGGGGACGUGUCCCCGGUUGAGUGUACCUGAAGAAAAAGCAUCGGCUAACUCCGUGCCAGCAGCCGCGGUAAUACGGAGGAUGCGAGCGUUAUCCGGAUUUAUUGGGUUUAAAGGGUGCGCAGGCGGUCUGUCAAGUCAGCGGUCAAAGCCCGGGGCUCAACCCCGGCCCGCCGUUGAAACUGGCAGUGCCGAGUUGGAGAGAAGUAUGCGGAAUGCGCGGUGUAGCGGUGAAAUGCAUAGAUAUCGCGCAGAACUCCGAUUGCGAAGGCAGCAUGGCGGCUCCACACUGACGCCGAGGCACGAAAGCGUGGGUAUCGAACAGGAUUAGAUACCCGAGUAGUC